GUAACACGUAGUCAACAUCCCCUGGGGACGUGGAUAACCUCGGGAAACUGAGGAUAAACCGCCAUAGGUCACUACUUCUGGAAUGGGUAAUGACUCAAACCUACAUGGCCCCUGGAUUGGACUGCGGCCGAUCAGGCUGUUGGUGAGGUAAUGGCCCACCAAACCUGUAACCGGUACGGGCUCUGAGAGGAGGAGCCCGGAGAUGGGCACUGAGACAAGGGCCCAGGCCCUAUGGGGCGCAGCAGGCGCGAAACCUCUGCAAUAGGCGAAAGCCUGACAGGGUUACUCUGAGUGAUCUCCGUUAAGGAGAUCUUUUGGCACCUCUAAAAAUGGUGCAGAAUAAGGGGUGGGCAGGUCUGGUGUCAGCCGCCGCGGUAAUACCAGCACCCCGAGUGGUCGGGACGUUUAUUGGGCCUAAAGCAUACGUAGCCGGUUCUACAAGUCUUCCGUUAAAUCCAGCUGCUUAACAGAUGGGCUGCGGAAGAUACUAUGGAGCU
RNAcentral lists this ribosomal RNA (497 nucleotides) under uncultured archaeon. Its description in RNAcentral is "bacterial SSU rRNA". It matches the Rfam family "Archaeal small subunit ribosomal RNA", at positions 93 to 593 of the family's 1478-position model. The record is from RNAcentral.